GAAUUCGCCCUUAGAGUUUGAUCAUGGCUCAGGAUGAACGCUAGCGGCAGGCCUAACACAUGCAAGUCGAGGGGUAACAGGGAGUAGCUUGCUACUUUGCUGACGACCGGCGCACGGGUGCGUAACGCGUAUACAAUCUGCCUUGUACUGGGGGAUAGCCUUUAGAAAUGAAGAUUAAUACCCCAUAGUAUAUGACUGUGGCAUCACAGCCAUAUUAAAGGUUACGGUACAAGAUGAGUAUGCGUCCUAUUAGCUAGAUGGUGUGGUAACGGCACACCAUGGCGACGAUAGGUAGGGGCCCUGAGAGGGGGAUCCCCCACACUGGUACUGAGACACGGACCAGACUCCUACGGGAGGCAGCAGUGAGGAAUAUUGGACAAUGGAGGCAACUCUGAUCCAGCCAUGCCGCGUGCAGGAAGACUGCCCUAUGGGUUGUAAACUGCUUUUAUACGGGAAGAAACACCCCCACGUGUGGGGGCUUGACGGUACCGUAAGAAUAAGCACCGGCUAACUCCGUGCCAGCAGCCGCGGUAAUACGGAGGGUGCAAGCGUUAUCCGGAAUCAUUGGGUUUAAAGGGUCCGUAGGCGGACGAUUAAGUCAGAGGUGAAAGUCUGCAGCUCAACUGUAGAAUUGCCUUUGAUACUGGUUGUCUUGAAUUAUUGUGAAGUGGUUAGAAUAAGUAGUGUAGCGGUGAAAUGCAUAGAUAUUACUUAGAAUACCAAUUGCGAAGGCAGAUCACUAACAAUAUAUUGACGCUGAGGGACGAAAAGCGUGGGGGAGCGAACAGGAUUAGAUACCCUGGUAGUCCACGCCGUAAACGAUGGAUACUAGCUGUUCGAUUUUCGGAUUGAGUGGCUAAACCGAAAAGUGAUAAAGUAUCCCACCUGGGGGAAUACUUUCGCAAAAAAUGAAAACUCAAAAGGAAUUGACGGGGGGCCCCCCACAAACCGGUGGAACCAUGUGGUUUUAAUUU
RNAcentral lists this ribosomal RNA (974 nucleotides) under uncultured Gilvibacter sp. RNAcentral's name for it is "bacterial SSU rRNA". It matches the Rfam family "Bacterial small subunit ribosomal RNA", at positions 1 to 952 of the family's 1533-position model. Lineage: Bacteria; Pseudomonadati; Bacteroidota; Flavobacteriia; Flavobacteriales; Flavobacteriaceae. The record is from RNAcentral.